Molecule: long non-coding RNA, 222 nt
Filed under: Nicotiana benthamiana
Lineage: Eukaryota; Viridiplantae; Streptophyta; Magnoliopsida; Solanales; Solanaceae
Description: long non-coding RNA (NBEN_LNC028769)
Source: RNAcentral
UGUUAGGAUUCAUGUUUUAGUUUUAUAAGAAUUUUGUUUAUGAAAUUCUACCAUGAAAUAGCAUGAUCUUAUGAAUGUUAUGUUUUGAUUUGAUAUUUUAAUAUGAUGUUAAAACAUUGUAAAUAGCAUGAUUUUAGUAGGUUAACAACAUGUUUUUUAUGUUUAAGAGUCAUGUUGAAAAUCAUGUGCUAUUCAGAAAAAAUUUUGGUCACUGCCUUCAGA